Molecule: transfer RNA, 67 nt
Filed under: Deroploa parva
Lineage: Eukaryota; Metazoa; Arthropoda; Insecta; Hemiptera; Pentatomidae
Description: tRNA-Ile
Source: RNAcentral
AAUAAGAUGCCUGAAAAUUAAGGACUAUUUUGAUAGAAUAGAUUAUGUAUUUAUUAUACUCUUAUUA